GACGAACGCUGGCGGCGUACUUAACACAUGCAAGUCGAACGGUGAACGAGGGAGCUUGCUCCCUCCGGAUCAGUGGCGAACGGGUGAGUAACACGUGAGCAAUCUGCCCCGAACUCUGGGAUAAGCGUUGGAAACGACGUCUAAUACCGGAUACGACGCGGGAGGGCAUCCUCUCCGCGUGGAAAGAACUUCGGUUCGGGAUGAGCUCGCGGCCUAUCAGCUUGUUGGUGAGGUAACGGCUCACCAAGGCGACGACGGGUAGCCGGCCUGAGAGGGUGACCGGCCACACUGGGACUGAGACACGGCCCAGACUCCUACGGGAGGCAGCAGUGGGGAAUAUUGUACAAUGGGCGCAAGCCUGAUGCAGCAACGCCGCGUGAGGGACGACGGCCUUCGGGUUGUAAACCUCUUUUAGCAGGGAAGAAGCGAAAGUGACGGUACCUGCAGAAAAAGCACCGGCUAACUACGUG
Molecule: ribosomal RNA, 470 nt
Filed under: uncultured bacterium
Lineage: Bacteria
Description: partial 16S ribosomal RNA
Rfam family: Bacterial small subunit ribosomal RNA
Source: RNAcentral